This 478-nucleotide ribosomal RNA is filed under the name uncultured bacterium. RNAcentral's name for it is "partial 16S ribosomal RNA". It matches the Rfam family "Bacterial small subunit ribosomal RNA", at positions 28 to 523 of the family's 1533-position model. The record is from RNAcentral.
GACGAAAGCUGGCCGCAUGCCUAACACCUGCAAGUCGAGCGAGCAGAACCUUUCGGGGUGAAGAUAGCGGCGGACGGGUGAGUAACACGUGGGCAACCUGCCUCAUAGAGCGGAAUAGCAUCCCGAAAGGGAGAUGAAUACCGCAUAAGAUUGCAUCUUCGCAUGAAGCAGUAAUUAUAGGAGUAAUCCGCUAUGAGAUGGGCCAGCGGCGGAUUAGCUAGUUGGGGAGGUAACGGCUCACCAAGGCGACGAUGCGUAGCCGACCUGGGAGGGUGAUCGGCCACAUGACGACGGAGACACGGCCCAGACUCCUACGGGGGGCAGCAGUGGGGAAUAUUGCACAAUGGGGGAAACCCUGAUGCAGCAAUGCCCCGUGAGUGAUGACGGCCUUCGGGUUGUAAAGCUCUGUCUUCGGGGACGAUAAUGACGGUACCCGAGGAAUAAGCCACGGCUAACUACGUGCCAGCCGCCGCCGUAA